RNAcentral lists this transfer RNA (84 nucleotides) under Chitinophagales bacterium. Its description in RNAcentral is "tRNA-Leu". It matches the Rfam family "tRNA". Rfam says of the family: Transfer RNA (tRNA) molecules are approximately 80 nucleotides in length. Their secondary structure includes four short double-helical elements and three loops (D, anti-codon, and T loops). Further hydrogen bonds mediate the characteristic L-shaped molecular structure. tRNAs have two regions of fundamental functional importance: the anti-codon, which is responsible for specific mRNA codon recognition, and the 3' end, to which the tRNAs corresponding amino acid is attached (by aminoacyl-tRNA synthetases). tRNAs cope with the degeneracy of the genetic code in two manners: having more than one tRNA (with a specific anti-codon) for a particular amino acid; and 'wobble' base-pairing, i.e. permitting non-standard base-pairing at the 3rd anti-codon position. The record is from RNAcentral. Lineage: Bacteria; Pseudomonadati; Bacteroidota; Chitinophagia; Chitinophagales.
GCCUGGGUGGCGGAAUUGGUAGACGCAGCAGACUCAAAAUCUGCCGUCCGCGAGGAUGUGCUGGUUCGAUUCCAGUCCCAGGUA